Molecule: ribosomal RNA, 228 nt
Filed under: uncultured bacterium
Lineage: Bacteria
Description: partial 16S ribosomal RNA
Rfam family: Bacterial small subunit ribosomal RNA
Source: RNAcentral
CGGGGUGAGUAAUGCUUGGGAAUCUAGCUUAUGGAGGGAGGAAUAAUGGGAAACUGUAGCUAAUACCGCGUAGAAUCGGGAGAUGAAAGUGUGGGACCUUCGGGCCACAUGCCAUAGGAUGAGCCCAAGUGGGAUUAGGUAGUUGGUGAGGUAAAGGCUCACCAAGCCGACGAUCUCUAGCUGGUCUGAGGGGAUGACCAGCCACACUGGGACUGAGACACGGCCCAG